CAAGCAUGGGGCCAAGUUGAGAAGGGGCAGCAGGCCUGGGACCCGACAAAGGCCUGUCACUGCUACGUAGAGAAGAGAUUAUCCAGGCACAGUCAAGAGGUCAGACUAUCAACACCAGUCUACUCUUGGAAUCCUUCCCAACUUGAAGACGAACUAUAGAUCAAUGAAGGAUUACUGAGUCUCUGUGUAACAGAAGCUCUACACCUCACACCUGAAUGCAUCCAGUCCCGAGAAGCCAGGCUCCCCAUUGGUGGGAAAAGAUCAGAGGCAGUAUUCCAAGCCAAACUGUAUCCAGCUUUAUUAAAGAUACUUUUCAUAAACAAUCAUGGUAUUUCAGGCAGGACAUGGGCACACAAUCGUUAACAGUAUACAACAACUUUCAAACUCCCUUCUUGGAUGGACUACCAAAAAUCAGAAAGCCACUAUAAAA
Long non-coding RNA from Fukomys damarensis (Damara mole-rat), 430 nucleotides. RefSeq lists it as uncharacterized. Lineage: Eukaryota; Metazoa; Chordata; Mammalia; Rodentia; Bathyergidae. The record is from RefSeq and is a predicted model, not a curated record. The transcript is spliced from 2 exons.